This 253-nucleotide ribosomal RNA is filed under the name uncultured bacterium. RNAcentral's name for it is "partial 16S ribosomal RNA". It matches the Rfam family "Bacterial small subunit ribosomal RNA", at positions 524 to 776 of the family's 1533-position model. The record is from RNAcentral.
GACGAACGGUGCGAACGUUGUUCGGAAUCACUGGGCUUAAAGGGCGCGUAGGCGGGCUGUCAAGUCUGGGGUGAAAUCUCGAGGCUCAACCUCGGAACUGCCUUUGAUACUGGAAAUCUUGAGUCUGGGAGAGGUGAGUGGAACUGCGAGUGUAGAGGUGAAAUGCGUAGAUAUUCGCAAGAACACCGGUGGCGAAGGCGGCUCACUGGCCCGGAACUGACGCUGAGGCACGAAAGCGUGGGGAGCAAACAGG